GACGAAGGUGGCUAGCGUUAUUCGGAUUUACUGGGCAUAAAGCGCGCGUAGGCGGCUCGACAAGUCGGAGGUGAAAGCCUGCAGCUCAACUGCGGUGUGCCUCCGAAACUGUCGAGCUUGAGUGCGGGAGGGGUGAUUGGAACUCCAGGUGUAGCGGUGAAAUGCGUAGAUAUCUGGAGGAACACCAGAGGCGAAGGCGAAUCACUGGACCGCAACUGACGCUGAGGCGCGAAAGCUAGGGGAGCAAACAGG
This 252-nucleotide ribosomal RNA is filed under the name uncultured bacterium. Its description in RNAcentral is "partial 16S ribosomal RNA". It matches the Rfam family "Bacterial small subunit ribosomal RNA", at positions 524 to 776 of the family's 1533-position model. The record is from RNAcentral.